Mastomys coucha (southern multimammate mouse) is the source of this 102-nucleotide small nuclear RNA. NCBI's taxonomy places the organism in Eukaryota, Metazoa, Chordata, Mammalia, Rodentia, Muridae. The record is from RefSeq and is a predicted model, not a curated record.
UUGCUUCUGCAGCAGAUAUGCUAAUAAUAGAACAGUACAGGUAAGAUUAGCACACGCCUGUGCAAAGAUGGAAUGCAAAUUCAGGAAAAUUCAGGGUUUUUU